AUUGAACGCUGGCGGCAUGCCUUACACAUGCAAGUCGAACGGUAACGGGUCCUUCGGGAUGCCGACGAGUGGCGAACGGGUGAGUAAUAUAUCGGAACGUGCCCAGUAGUGGUGGAUAACUGCUCGAAAGAGCAGCUAAUACCGCAUACGCACUGAGGGUGAAAGGGGGGGAUCGCAAGACCUCUUGGUAUUGGAGCGGCCGAUAUCAGUUUAGCUAGUUGGUGGGGUAAAGGCCUACCAAGGCAACGAUCUGUAGUUGGUCUGAGAGGACGACCAGCCACACUGGGACUGAGACACGGCCCAGACUCCUACGGGAGGCAGCAGUGGGGAAUUUUGGACAAUGGGCGCAAGCCUGAUCCAGCAAUGCCGCGUGCAGGAAGAAGGCCUUCGGGUUGUAAACUGCUUUUGUCAGGGAAGAAAUCUUCUGGGCUAAUACCCCGGGAGGAUGACGGUACCUGAAGAAUAAGCACCGGCUAACUACGUGCCAGCCGCCGCAGUAA
RNAcentral lists this ribosomal RNA (500 nucleotides) under uncultured bacterium. Its description in RNAcentral is "partial 16S ribosomal RNA". It matches the Rfam family "Bacterial small subunit ribosomal RNA", at positions 30 to 523 of the family's 1533-position model. The record is from RNAcentral.